GAUUCCAUGGUGUAGUGGUUACCACUCCAGACUUUGAAUCUAGCAACUUGGGUUCGAAUCCCGGUGAGGACC
RNAcentral lists this transfer RNA (72 nucleotides) under Zea mays. It matches the Rfam family "tRNA". From Rfam's summary of the family: Transfer RNA (tRNA) molecules are approximately 80 nucleotides in length. Their secondary structure includes four short double-helical elements and three loops (D, anti-codon, and T loops). The record is from Rfam by way of RNAcentral. Lineage: Eukaryota; Viridiplantae; Streptophyta; Magnoliopsida; Poales; Poaceae.